This 321-nucleotide long non-coding RNA is filed under the name Callithrix jacchus (white-tufted-ear marmoset). Its description in RNAcentral is "lncRNA (ENSCJAG00000061439.2)". The record is from RNAcentral. Lineage: Eukaryota; Metazoa; Chordata; Mammalia; Primates; Cebidae.
GUACUUAGGUGUUCUUAUUUGCAAUUUUAAGGUGCCCAAGAAAUGAGAAGAAAGAACAAAGGCCAAGUCCAUUGGUCAAUUUGUACAAAAUAACUUGAGGCCUGGCCAGGUGUCCAUCCAGUUGAAUCAUCUGUCAUGUGGUUUCCAGAUUUCCAAAUCCUCUGAGAUGUUUUUGCCACGAUAGCUGGAGAGAUUGGACGUGAUACACAUCAGGAGACUGGCUGACAAUUGCUGGCUCUAUGUCUACCACUGCUGAAGCUGUCAGAAGGUAGAGGCGAAAGCAUUUAUGCAACAUAAACCACACACUUAGAUUUCUUUUAA